This 257-nucleotide long non-coding RNA is filed under the name Helianthus annuus (common sunflower). RNAcentral's name for it is "hypothetical non coding rna". Lineage: Eukaryota; Viridiplantae; Streptophyta; Magnoliopsida; Asterales; Asteraceae. The record is from RNAcentral.
UUCACAAUUCUGAAGCUCUCAGAUCAAACUCGGGCUUUCUAAUGAUCCAUAAUCGAGCCCAGUAAAAGCUAUCUGUACUUGCUUGGUGGUAUACGGCUGGGAUUGAAUUUAUAUUUAGCUCAGGUACUACUCGUAAUAGGCUGGUUGUCUUCUAGCGUCCACAAUAAGUCUCGCAAGCUUGGAUGCCUUAAAGUCUGUUGAACAAAUGAUUCAUUUUAUUUUUGAUCCGCCUGUGGAUCCUUUACAUUCCGUUUGUA